Molecule: long non-coding RNA, 484 nt
Filed under: Capsella rubella
Lineage: Eukaryota; Viridiplantae; Streptophyta; Magnoliopsida; Brassicales; Brassicaceae
Description: long non-coding RNA (CRUB_LNC003535)
Source: RNAcentral
AAAUAAUGGAAACUCAAAGGGGAUGUCAUUGUUCAGGGAGGACUUUGUAUGUUUAAAGGGCCAUUGAAUCUAGACUUCAAACUACAUUCGCCUGUCUUUUUCAUACAUAACUUUCAUAAAUAUCAUCUACUAAUCAUAACUAUUACCAAGACAACAUAUAAAAAUUGAAAAAAAUAAAAAAAAAAAUCUACAGCUUGCAUUCCGUAAUAUGAUCACUUUUUACAAAUUCAUUGGGAAUUUGGAUCCUUCGACUUAUACUAACCAUCAGAUUAACACAAGUACAUAAUAUAUAUACAUAUUAAGAUAAUAUAGUUUUUGUUUUCUUUUUUUUUUGGUAUCAAUAUUAAGUGCUAAACAAUUAUAGUUUCUCUAGUAACCCGUUUGGUAACAAAUAGAACAUAUCUUACCAGUUACCACAAUCGAUCGGUAAUGUAUCAACUUAGGUCGGAGCCAUCGGAGUUAAAUUCUUUAAGAUGCAAAAGCG